This 465-nucleotide ribosomal RNA is filed under the name uncultured bacterium. RNAcentral's name for it is "partial 16S ribosomal RNA". It matches the Rfam family "Bacterial small subunit ribosomal RNA", at positions 338 to 795 of the family's 1533-position model. The record is from RNAcentral.
CCUACGGGUGGCUGCAGUGGGGAAUAUUGCGCAAUGGGCGAAAGCCUGACGCAGCGACGCCGCGUGAGGGAUGAAGGUCUUCGGAUCGUAAACCUCUGUCAGCAGGGAAGAACGGUCACUGUGCUAUUCAGCAGUGAAUUGACGGUACCUGCAAAGGAAGCACCGGCUAACUCCGUGCCAGCAGCCGCGGUAAUACGGAGGGUGCGAGCGUUAAUCGGAAUUACUGGGCGUAAAGCGCUCGUAGGCGGUAUGUCAAGUCACGGGUGAAAUCCCCGCCCUCAACGUGGGAACUGCCUUUGAAACUGGCAAACUGGAGUGUGUGAGAGGAUAGUGGAAUUCCAGGUGUAGGGGUGAAAUGCGUAGAUAUCUGGAGGAACAUCAGUGGCGAAGGCGACUGUCUGGCACAUAACUGACGCUGAGGAGCGAAAGCGUGGGUAGCAAACAGGAUUAGAUACCCCUGUAGUC